Molecule: ribosomal RNA, 382 nt
Filed under: uncultured eukaryote
Lineage: Eukaryota
Description: partial 18S ribosomal RNA
Rfam family: Eukaryotic small subunit ribosomal RNA
Source: RNAcentral
UGUAAGCGUAUACCAAAGUUGUUGCAGUUAAAACGCUCGUAGUCGGAAUUUGGCAGUUCCGGAAGUGUGCACGUCGUGUGCGCACUUUGCGGGGACUGCUUUUGUGGUCUUGCGUAGGAUGUGGCACUUUCAUUAGUGAACGUCCUCACGCAACCACUCUUUACUGUGAGAAAAUCAGAGUGCUCAAAGCAGGCAUUUGCCGUGAAUGUAUUAGCAUGGAAUAAUAGAAUAGGACUCGGUUCUAUUUUGUUGGUUUGUUGGGACUGAGUAAUGAUUAAGAGGGACAGUUGGGGGCAUUUGUAUUCCGGCGCUAGAGGUGAAAUUCUUAGAUUGCCGGAAGACAAACUGCUGCGAAAGCGUCUGCCAAGGAUGUUUUCAUUGA